GUUUUUAAAUAAAACUCGAUUGUUCUCCUGAAAACUAAAUUUCCUUUCGAUUUCCGUGAGGAAUAAACAAUUAAAUUAAAACUGAAUCAACUCUAAACGAAACAAAAUACUCACCUGCUGAAGAAAGAAAAAGAGGGGGGUAAAAAAAAAACAAAAAACAAGUUUAAGCAGCUUUGAAAUUGUCAAAGAGUACAGAUGAGCUCCUGAAUCAAAUGACCCCGCUGUUCUGCCUGGUGACAAACACAAAGACACAUCAAGCAGCUGAUUAUUUCACGCGUUAAUUUCUCACACGCUCUGAUUUUCCUUCUUCCAACGGCCCCGACGUCCACAACAUGUUUUCUUAAGAAAUAAACUCCCAGACCGGCGUCCUUCCUCCCAGACAAUUACGGGUUUUGCGCGAGACAUUGUUUCGUCUGAAUGUUGCGGUCAUUAUGGCUUGAUUUGCAUAUCGAGCAUCGCUAAUUUCCUCGGCGCGUCUGAACAUGGCUGCGCGUAACAAACAGGACGACGUCACCGAACGUGGACCCCGCGUAAAAACGAGUCUGAAAAUUACAAACCGACAACGCUGGGAUGAAAAUGAGAAAAUAACUGGGAAAAAAAAUUAACAACGCUGUUACUAAGUGGGGGGGUGUUUAUAACGCUUCCUAACGUGCUGAAAACCUCAGUGAGAAGACGCGCUGGAAAAACACGCGCCCUGUUCAGACCCUCUCAUCCCGUGGAUGGAAUAAGACGCUUUCGAAAGACGGCCGCCGAGCGCGUUUCCGGCGAACCGGUCGUGGGAGGCUUUCGUGGACGUGAUUUGUAAUCGAGGAUGUUCGUUUGUCCGUUUCACAUCCAGAUGAUGGUUUUUCGGUGCCGCGGGGAGUCCGAGGAGAAUAGGCAGCUGGAGCUCCGAGUCGCCCGCAGGAGGAAGUGGAGGCAGCGCUGCCUCGUGAGGCUGAUGCAACAUGAGGGACGGAAGACAAAUGAAAGUUGCUUUGGUUUCACAUCAAUAAGAGCCCACGAGAUGCAGAAGAUGGUUCAAGCAAAUGGUAAAAAAUACAAAAUAAAUAAAAAUCCCUUUGAUGUAUAUGUUAAAACCAAUAUAUAUAUAUAUAUAUAUAUAUAUAUAUAUAUAUAUAUAUAUAUAUAUAUAUAUUAUAUACAAUUAUAUAUAAUUCAUUAUUAUUUAUAUGAAAGUACAUUUAUACAAUAUAGUUUAUUAUUUAUCCAUUUAAUUUUAUGUUAGAAAUUGAAAGUUCGAAGCACUGGAUAAACAUAUUAUAUUUAACACAAUGC
Long non-coding RNA from Puntigrus tetrazona (Sumatra barb), 1278 nucleotides. RefSeq lists it as uncharacterized. NCBI's taxonomy places the organism in Eukaryota, Metazoa, Chordata, Actinopteri, Cypriniformes, Cyprinidae. The transcript is spliced from 4 exons. The record is from RefSeq and is a predicted model, not a curated record.